Molecule: ribosomal RNA, 128 nt
Rfam family: Bacterial small subunit ribosomal RNA
UUUAAAUUGAGAGUUUGAUCCUGGCUCAGGACGAACGCUGGCGGCGUGCUUAACACAUGCAAGUCGAGCGAUGAAGUUCCCUUCGGGGAACGGAUUAGCGGCGGACGGGUGAGUAACACGUGGGUAAC